Molecule: ribosomal RNA, 459 nt
Filed under: uncultured bacterium
Lineage: Bacteria
Description: partial 16S ribosomal RNA
Rfam family: Bacterial small subunit ribosomal RNA
Source: RNAcentral
CCUACGGGAGGCAGCAGUGAGGAAUAUUGGUCAAUGGCCGCAGGGCUGAACCAGCCAAGUCGCGUGAGGGAUGACGGUCCUAUGGAUUGUAAACCUCUUUUGUCAGGGAGCAAAGGGCGCCACGUGUGGCGCUUUGCGAGUACCUGAAGAAAAAGCAUCGGCUAACUCCGUGCCAGCAGCCCCGGUAAUACGGAGGAUGCGAGCGUUGUCCGGAUUUAUUGGGUUUAAAGGGUGCGCAGGCGGAAUGUCAAGUCAGCGGUAAAAUUUCGGGGCUCAACCCCGUCGUGCCGUUGAAACUGGCGUUCUUGAGUGAGCUAGAAGUAUGCGGAAGGCGUGGUGUAGCGGUGAAAUGCAUAGAUAUCACGCAGAACUCCGAUUGCGAAGGCAGCAUACCGGCGCUCAACUGACGCUCAUGCACGAAAGUGUGGGUAUCGAACAGGAUUAGAUACCCGAGUAGUC